RNAcentral lists this long non-coding RNA (1516 nucleotides) under Anser brachyrhynchus (Pink-footed goose). RNAcentral's name for it is "lncRNA (ENSABRG00000020350.1)". The record is from RNAcentral. Lineage: Eukaryota; Metazoa; Chordata; Aves; Anseriformes; Anatidae.
GCAUAUUAAACUGGUGUUCUCUAAGAACAAAUAGAACAGAGAAGAAAUAUCACCUGGUCACUGAGGCUACAACCAAGACGUGUGUGUGGCCAGGCACAGCCUAGCUGCCAUCUCUGUAACACAGAUGAGGUUAAUCCUGCUGGCAAGAAGGAAAGGUGUAAGCCAACAGCAGCGUGACAGCUUUCUGGUGAGCUGGAACUGCAGCAGGGAACAGUGACAGCUUCUGGAAAAGGGUGCUCGAGUACUUUGCCUGGGAGGUGCAGGGACCAGAAUGGCACCAUGGCCAUGUGCCCCUGCCUGGCUUGAAGGAUGCAGCUUCACAGGCCCCUGCAAGCUCCUGGGGGCAGGCCAGCGAGAAGGAUGCAGCACUGAUCAGGGGGACCUGUGUUGCACAGCUGGCAGGAAGCGAACCCUGGGGAUCUGUGGUAGGGGUGAAGCUGUCGCUGUUUCACACCUUCCUGCUGGGGAGAACUCCCCUAUGGGGUUCUGCUCUUCAGGAGCUGGUGCAGGAACAUGUGGGAUGCACCAGCAGAGCAGGGUCGGUCUGGUUGUCCGAGAGCGGUGCCCUGGCCCAGCUCUAUGGCACGGCCAGGGGGCUACACCUGGUGGGAAGGGGCUUACCCCUAAGGGCCUGAGGACAAGGAGAUAAUUCUGGCACAGCUCCCCGUAUGUGCUUGUUCACAGCCUGAUAAGAGCCAUGGGAAGAGCUGUUUGUGCUUGCCUCGUUCAGUAUGUCUUUUCUCUGUGCAUCUGGUGGGGGAGAUGGGGCACAAGAGAGCCCAGCCUGGCGUGGCCAGGCCCUUCCUGUUGUAUUCUCCCAUCCCCGGCCUGCGGGUGUGCGAUUUGCCUGCGGCACCAAGCGCAGGUGGCUUUUGAGAGCGGAAAGGUGCUGAGUACAUACUCCCUGUUAUUUAUCAUCCCAUUUGCUAUGUCUGAGGGGGGCAUGUGGGCAGUGGGAGAGCAGGGUGUGAAGGAACGAAGGGCACUUCUGAGCUGCGGCUGUUUAUCACCGUUACAGAGAUCCUCUGGUACAGCAGCCAGACAGGCACGCACACUCCCCCAGCCUCCUGAUCACAUUAUUAUAUUACACCUGACGUUCCUUUUUUUUCUUUUCUUUUCACUAAUAUGUUAUUUUUGGCCUGACAGCUUUACGAAGGAGAAAAGAGAAAUAGAGAGUGAGACACGCACCCGGACAGACACAGACAGUAUUCAUUCCUUAUCAGCGAGGAAGGGGUCUGACUCAGACAAACAAGACUUGCUGAUUGAAACAUCUUGCUGUCUCCAGCAGCUCCCUCUGCCACCAAAGGGAGGUCCCCAGUCUGCAGAGGUGCACUCUGCUCCCAGCCUGCUCUGGCGCAGUCUGCAGGCCAGUCUGCCGCAGGGAUUGCCCAGCAGAAGUCUGAGCAGCGUUGGUUUGCCCGUGUUUGACAGAACCAGUGUGCAAGUGUGCUUGCUUCCUGACCCCUGCUUAUCUCUAUUGCCCUCCUGCUUUCUGCUUCUGUCCCAUCAACACUAA